Long non-coding RNA from Stylophora pistillata, 651 nucleotides. The record is from RefSeq and is a predicted model, not a curated record. NCBI's taxonomy places the organism in Eukaryota, Metazoa, Cnidaria, Anthozoa, Scleractinia, Pocilloporidae.
CUUGUUUGGAUAAUUUUAGGUUUUUAUCACCGGAAUUUUAGGAUACAUUGGAGCAAGAGAUGAUUCAAAACCAGAUAAGUGUUUGAUUGGAUGUUUUAUGGGUGCCUCUAUUACAGGUUGCAUCUUGUCAGGAGGGAUGUUCAUCUGCUAUUGUAUUACUCUUGUAUUCUACGCUGCAAUGAAGGAAGCCUCUAGGGAUUUUUUAUAGAAACGGAGGUUAUAAUGGUUUCACUUCCUACACCAACUGUUAUGAGGAGUAUGGCUUUCACAGAGAUACCCAUGCAAAUGUGGCUGGUUUAGGCUCCUGUCUGCUUUUUUUCUCCUUUAUUGAGUUCUUCGUGGCCCUGGCGUCAUCUAUCUGUUGUUGUACCUCACCAGGAGUUGUGAGUAGUUCAAGGACCAACCAGCAAGUGACAUAUGGCCAACCUCAAUACCUGUACCCAGGGGCACAGCUUGGUUUGGUUUUAAUGCAGACUGGUGCUGGUGUGGUGCCACAUGGAUACCCAGCAACAGGCCAGCCACCUGUGUAUAUCAUGCAGCAGCCUGGUGCAGUUGCACAGCUUGGAGUAGCCUUUUAGCAACCCACUUACUGGGCAGUUCCCUCAGGAUCCAACCUAGCUGGAGCAGUGACUGUGCCUCAUUCAGCUACUG